This is a long non-coding RNA of Corvus hawaiiensis (hawaiian crow), 1719 nucleotides long. RefSeq lists it as uncharacterized. Lineage: Eukaryota; Metazoa; Chordata; Aves; Passeriformes; Corvidae. The record is from RefSeq and is a predicted model, not a curated record. The transcript is spliced from 3 exons.
CCAAAAACACCUCAAGGCUCUCACGAGCAGCACCAGGAUUUCUGAAGACACUGUGAAGGUAACAGAGCACUUCCAAGGGUGAUUACCACAGCAAGAGUCAAGUGAAUGAACAUUCAGGAAGAAAUGACCAAAGGAGCCAUUCAAUUUUUCUUUGGAGUGCUUUGUUUCAUAAAUCUUCAGACAAGCCAUCAACUUUUCCAUUUUGGAAAUCAAAUCUCAACUUCAUUCUGCUUGCCAGUAACAAAACAAAAGAUGCUCUAUGUCUGCCCACAGAGCCCAUCACAUGGCCUGCAGCUAUGCCAUCUCUUCUGGGUGCUGACACUGAAAAAGAAUUAGAGCACAGAAGAAAUGCUUUUGAUGAUGUGCGAACCCCAGAAGGAUCCAAACCACACUAAUUUAAGCUCUCUGUGCUUACAAGGAACAGCUCUUACUGUGGGUAGUUACAAACUAGAAGAGAGUUCCUUCAGUGGGAAGAAUUUAACAGCUUCUUCCCUGAAGGCUCUUUUAAAAUCAUGUUAAGGAAAAGAAGAAAUCAAUAAAUACACUUGUUGGAGGAGGAAUUCAGAAGCUGUGUCCCUGCUGAGGCCAGUCCUGCUCCAGGGAGCUUAAAGAUGGACCCGAGAAGCUGCUUGCAGAGGUAAAAGAACUUCCUUUUGAAGGCUCUCCAGUGAGAACUGAAAACAUCAUUCCAGAGAGGAUGAGUGCUGUUAAUCCACAGGACUAACUUACUGCUUGCCAGACAAAAUAUGCGUAAAAAUACAUCACAGCUGCCACAGCACCUUUCACAUUGCAGUGUCCUGGAUGACAACCAGCAUCACAAUGAAACGGCUGCAUUUGGAUUUACAGCUGUAGUCACCUGCUAUCCAGAGUGGGGAUGAUCUUUAUAGCACAGAGACCUAACUGAGUGGCCCGUGGCUCUGCAAGGAGUCAGUGGCAGGAGAGGAACCACAGAGUCCUGUCUUUGGUGCUCUGCUCACUCCCUGGUGGAGGUUUAAUGCCACAAUAUACAUGGGAAUAGUUCUUAAGAACAUUUCUCCACUCUUUUACUGUCAGGGUAUGGAUCAUCCUUCCUGCUCUCCCCAUAUCAUUCUCAGACAUGGAACAAAAUUUAAAAACCCUAUCAUGCUAUUUUGCGUUUCAAUUAAGUACAGUGGACCAGAAUCCCAGCGGCUAGGCUGGGAUGUGCUGGCACAGCCCCUUAUGAGCAGGACAGAUCCCAGUCUGCUGUGGUGAAGAGCACGGUGCACUCUCUAUGCUUGUACCCUGCUGGGAACACAGGCCAGUCCUCAGACUAAGUUUUGGCUUAGGAGGUGUGGAAAGAAUUUGGCAGCUUGUUCCAGUCUCCCAACCUUGCUCACCCUCACAUGGAAUCACAGCAAAGAUCCAAAGCAACAGAGUACUAUGCCAAUUUCUGCGGGUUUGGCUAAGCAGCUCCCUGUUGGCAUUUCCACACACAGCAUCUGGAUAUUUCCUAACAGGGUGGCAGCCCAGGGGGGCGAUUUUCAGCCUUCUCUAAUUACAAUGCUGCUGUCAAUGAGUUAAUGCCCUUGGAGAGCGGGGAGAGCAGUGCCUCGUGAACGGCUCCCACCCUGGGUGGAGAUGAAGCACUGAAAGAUGUACAGAGAAAUGCAGCCUGCCUUGAAAGUUGAAAAUUAAAACAUGGACUCUUAAAAUUCACAUCCUGCAGCUCUCAGGCUUGUUCAUGGUUGUCAUGGGUUA